AUUGAACGCUGGCGGAAUGCUUUACACAUGCAAGUCGAACGGUAGAGGGGGCAACCCCUUGAGAGUGGCGAACGGGUGAGUAAUAUAUCGGAACGUGCCCAGUCGUGGGGAUAACGUAGCGAAAGUUACGCUAAUACCGCAUACGAUCUAAGGAUGAAAGCGGGGGAUCGCAAGACCUCGCGCGAUUGGAGCGGCCGAUAUCAGAUUAGGUAGUUGGUGAGGUAAAGGCUCACCAAGCCGACGAUCUGUAGCUGGUCUGAGAGGACGACCAGCCACACUGGGACUGAGCCACGGCCCAGACUCCUACGGGAGGCAGCAGUGGGGAAUUUUGGACAAUGGGCGCAAGCCUGAUCCAGCAAUGCCGCGUGCAGGAUGAAGGCCUUCGGUUGUAAACUGCUUUGUACGGUAACGAAACGGUAGAGGCUCUAAUACAGUUUGCUAAUGACGGUACCGUAAGAAUAAG
RNAcentral lists this ribosomal RNA (463 nucleotides) under uncultured bacterium. RNAcentral describes it as "bacterial SSU rRNA". It matches the Rfam family "Bacterial small subunit ribosomal RNA", at positions 30 to 490 of the family's 1533-position model. The record is from RNAcentral.